Molecule: ribosomal RNA, 460 nt
Filed under: uncultured bacterium
Lineage: Bacteria
Description: partial 16S ribosomal RNA
Rfam family: Bacterial small subunit ribosomal RNA
Source: RNAcentral
CCUACGGGUGGCAGCAGUGAGGAAUAUUGGUCAAUGGACGAGAGUCUGAACCAGCCAAGUAGCGUGAAGGAUGACUGCUCUAUGGGUUGUAAACUUCUUUUAUAUGGGAAUAAAAUGUUCCACGUGUGGGAUUUUGUAUGUCCCAUAUGAACAUGGCACGGCUAACUCCGUGCCAGCAGCCGCGGUAAUACGGAGGAUCCGAGCGUUAUACGGAUUUAUUGGGGUUAAAGGGAGCGUAGGUGGAUUGUUAAGUCAGUUGUGAAAGUUUGCGGCUAAACCGUAAAAUUGCAGUUGAAACUGGCAGUCUAGAGUACAGUAGAGGUAGGCGGAAUUCGUGGUGUAGCGGUGAAAUGCUUAGAUAUCACGAAGAACUCCGAUUGCGAAGGCAGUUCACUGGACUGCAACUGACACUGAGGCUCGAAAGUGUGGGGAUCAAACAGGAUUAGAUACCCUUGUAGUC